This 663-nucleotide ribosomal RNA is filed under the name Pseudo-nitzschia seriata. Its description in RNAcentral is "bacterial SSU rRNA". It matches the Rfam family "Bacterial small subunit ribosomal RNA", at positions 28 to 734 of the family's 1533-position model. The record is from RNAcentral. Lineage: Eukaryota; Bacillariophyta; Bacillariophyceae; Bacillariales; Bacillariaceae.
GAUGAACGCUGGCGGUAUGCCUUACACAUGCAAGUCGUACGAGAGUUUUUAACUCUAGUGGCGGACGGGUGAGUAACACGUAAGAAUUUGCCUUUAGGAGGGGGACAACAACUGGAAACGGUUGCUAAUACCCCAUAUGCUUUCGAGUGAAAUGGAUUUCCGCCUAAAGAGAAGCUUGCGGCUGAUUAGCUUGUUGGUGAGGUAAUGGCUCACCAAGGCGACGAUCAGUAUCUGGUUUGAGAGGACGAUCAGACACACUGGAACUGAGACACGGUCCAGACUCCUACGGGAGGCAGCAGUGGGGAAUUUUCCGCAAUGGGCGAAAGCCUGACGGAGCAAUACCGCGUGAGGGAUGACGGCCUAUGGGUUGUAAACCUCUUUUUUCAGGGAGGAAUCAAUGACGUGUACCUGAAGAAUAAGCAUCGGCUAACUCCGUGCCAGCAGCCGCGGUAAGACGGAGGAUGCAAGUGUUAUCCGGAAUCACUGGGCGUAAAGCGUCUGUAGGUGGUCAAAUAAGUCAACUGUUAAAUCUUGAGGCUCAACCUCAAAAUCGCAGUCGAAACUAUUAGACUAGAGUAUAGUAGGGGUAAAGGGAAUUUCCAGUGGAGCGGUGAAAUGCGUAGAGAUGGAAGGAACACCGAUGGCGAAGGCACUUUACUGGGC